This 484-nucleotide ribosomal RNA is filed under the name Serratia sp. 45AAV. RNAcentral's name for it is "bacterial SSU rRNA". It matches the Rfam family "Bacterial small subunit ribosomal RNA", at positions 70 to 547 of the family's 1533-position model. Lineage: Bacteria; Pseudomonadati; Pseudomonadota; Gammaproteobacteria; Enterobacterales; Yersiniaceae. The record is from RNAcentral.
ACAAGAGAGCUUGCUCUCUGGGUGACGAGCGGCGAACGGGUGAGUAAUGUCUGGGAAACUGCCCGAUGGAGGGGGAUAACUACUGGAAACGGUAGCUAAUACCGCAUAACGUCUUCGGACCAAAGUGGGGGACCUUCGGGCCUCACACCAUCGGAUGUGCCCAGAUGGGAUUAGCUAGUAGGUGAGGUAAUGGCUCACCUAGGCGACGAUCCCUAGCUGGUCUGAGAGGAUGACCAGCCACACUGGAACUGAGACACGGUCCAGACUCCUACGGGAGGCAGCAGUGGGGAAUAUUGCACAAUGGGCGCAAGCCUGAUGCAGCCAUGCCGCGUGUGUGAAGAAGGCCUUCGGGUUGUAAAGCACUUUCAGCGAGGAGGAAGGGUUCAGUGUUAAUAUCACUGUUCAUUGACGUUACUCUCAGAAGAAGCACCGGCUAACUCCGUGCCAGCACCCGCGGUAAUACGGAGGGUGCAAUCGUUAAUCG